ACACCAGCGCCACAAGUGGCGUUCGCGAUUAUUGGGCCUAAAGCGUCCGUAGCUGGUUCUGUAAGUUUUUUGUGAAAGAGUGGAGCUUAACUCUACUUCGUGCAAGAAAGACUGCAGGGCUUGAGACUGGAAGGAGUAAGAGGUAUUUCUGGGGGACUGGUAAAAUGGAAUAAUCCCAGAAGGACCACCAAUGGCGAAGGCAUCUUACUAGGACAGUUCUGACAGUGAGGGACGAAAGCCAGGGGAGCGAACCGGAUUAGAAACCCUAGUAGUCC
This 275-nucleotide ribosomal RNA is filed under the name uncultured bacterium. RNAcentral's name for it is "partial 16S ribosomal RNA". It matches the Rfam family "Archaeal small subunit ribosomal RNA", at positions 473 to 747 of the family's 1478-position model. The record is from RNAcentral.